This is a long non-coding RNA of Acanthopagrus latus (yellowfin seabream), 684 nucleotides long. RefSeq lists it as uncharacterized. The transcript is spliced from 3 exons. The record is from RefSeq and is a predicted model, not a curated record. Lineage: Eukaryota; Metazoa; Chordata; Actinopteri; Spariformes; Sparidae.
GUAAGCGCUUCACUCCAUGGUUCACCAGAGUUCUAUGUAGGGGAUAAGAACCUGGCAGCUCCAGAAUAUGUGGAAGUGGUUGGCAUUGUUUUCCCCACAGAGCCUCCAACAACUGCUACCAUAAACAUAGUCACUUGCCCUUCCUCUUGUGUCACCGGUCUGACCUCAUCCCUAAUCCCUGAUUGUUUCCACCUGUGCUCCCCUCCCUCAUGUGUAUAAAGUCUUUGUCUUCCCCUGUCUGCAUUGCCAGAGUAUUUUGUUUGUCCUGUCGAAUACAUCCAGCCUUAUUCAUAGCCUUGUAUCAAGAUAAGUAUUGUCACGCUUUAUUUUCUGUUUUGUAUGCCUCUGAAGAAGAGUGAUUUUGAGUUGUAUUUUUCUGGUUAGACCUUUUGUUUUCAGAUUCAGAUUUUGUUUGUGUUUUGUGUUUACCUCCUUUGGAACGUUUUCUCUUUAUUUUUAUAGCUUCGUUGGAGUAGAUAAUUUUUUUCCUCCCUUGGGUGAUUUUGAUUUAUUGAAUUUUCAUAGUCUUAGUCCUCAGAUCAGUGUAGUUUCCUUCAUUCCUCCUACGGGAGCAUUUUUUGUUCUUUCAUUUUGUGUUCUUGUUGUUUCGUCUUGUCCUUUAGACCCAGAGAUUUUCAUAGCCUGUUUCUUUAUCAUUCUGUCGGAAGAGAUACAAUAUCUGAA